UCUCCGUAGGUGAACCUGCGGAGGGAUCAUUACACAAAUAUGAAGGCGGGCUGGAACCUCUCGGGGUUACAGCCUUGCUGAAUUAUUCACCCUUGUCUUUUGCGUACUUCUUGUUUCCUUGGUGGGUUCGCCCACCACUAGGACAAACAUAAACCUUUUGUAAUUGCAAUCAGCGUCUGAAAAUAAUCUAAUUAUUUACAACUUUCAACAACGGAUCUCUUGGUUCUG
RNAcentral lists this unclassified non-coding RNA (228 nucleotides) under root metagenome. RNAcentral's name for it is "partial contains small subunit ribosomal RNA, internal transcribed spacer 1, and 5.8S ribosomal RNA". The record is from RNAcentral.